Cercocebus atys (sooty mangabey) is the source of this 3312-nucleotide long non-coding RNA. RefSeq lists it as uncharacterized. The transcript is spliced from 3 exons. The record is from RefSeq and is a predicted model, not a curated record. Lineage: Eukaryota; Metazoa; Chordata; Mammalia; Primates; Cercopithecidae.
UUAGUUUCAGGCUUCAGCUUGACAGCCAAGCUCAGUUAUGGGGUGGGGCUUUUGUUUUCAAGAGGAAUCUCACCUCCCCUCCACUCCAAUUUUAGGCUAAACGACAGAUCCACAAAGCGCCUGGAAGGCAGAUGGGGAGUGGAGAGAGGAUGGAGAGAGUGUUGGUCCCCAAGAUCCACGUGUGACUGAGUCUUGAAGAUCAAAGUCUCUGACUCCCAUGCCCCAUGGGCCUCAGGGCAACACUGCUGCCCACUGGGAGCUGCUGGGCACAUCAGCAGAGCCCCCAUUGUCAUUGUCUUACCACCAGCAGCUUGGGAUCUUGGGCAGCCGCUGAAACUCUUUGGGCCACCAGUGACCUCAUCUGCAGGAAGGAGUAGCGGUAGCUUCACACUGGCUGUUAUAGUGCAUAAAGGGAAGUGAGGCCAAGUCCACUGUGGCUGAACCGAAGAGCCUCACACUGGUGGAAUUCAUGUAUACUGAGUCUGCCACAAGUUACUGACGGAGAUGUUUCAAACUUCAGCGUGCAGAAAGGAGCGCAGGAAAAUAAAAACAAAAACAAAAACAGAGAGAGAGAGAGAGAAAAGAACAAAGAAGUAAAACAACAGCAACUCCAAUUAUUGAGUCCCUGCUGUAUACCAGGCACUGCUGUGCGUGCAGCAGAAACAAAAAAUGAAUCGGACACAUCCCUGCUUCUUGGAGAACUCUCGGUCCAGAGGAGAAGAUGGAUGACAACACAGCAUGCCAUGUGGAGUCCGGGGAGUUGUGUGCCAUGUGCCGUGUCUUUCUGGACAGCCCUUGUGGAGAUGCCUGUGGCUAGGCUCCCCCUGGGGCCAGGCUCCUAUUCCCUAAUCUCAGUGUUCCCAGGAGCACCUCCCACGCUUCUCCUUUUUCCAGAAUUCCUCUCCUCUCACCCGCUGCCCAGCAGGGAUCCUCAUAUUCAGGCCACAAGAUGCUCAGAUCUUCUGAGCUGAUAACUGUGUCUUCAGCUUCCUAUCCACACCAGCCCUCUUCAGACAGACCAUGUAGUCGGAUUGUCUGACCUAUUUCAUCUCCUGCUGCUUCUGUCUUUUUUCUCUGUAGCCCAGAAUCUCCGGUUCAGGCUGCCUGAGCCUCUGAGCUCUUUUCUCCAUACAUCCCAAUCAGUCCUGAGUUUCUCAGCCUCCUGCUGGGAUGCAGAGAAGAUGCCUGGGUAGAGGCAGCAGCACGGUGCUGGAGACAUAGAGCGUUUCCGCCAUCCCUGUGCCACUUGGGUGGUCUUUGGGAAAAGAUCUGGGCAAUGGCCCUUCAGAGAAUUAAACAAAUGCAAACAAUUCAGGGGACAGAAGAUUGGUUUUUUUUGCAGCUUCGUUAGGUGCAAGCUGUUGGUCUGAAGUUCUAAUGUUAUUUUCAUUUUUUUCUCUGUCAUAACCUGUUUUGAGGUAAGAAGAGUUCAUAGAGUUUUUUUUUUUUUUUUUUUUUGACAACUUUUGCACAGAGGCAAAGUUGAUACAAAGGAAGUCAUUCCCUCCUGGUCCCAGAGGAUAGUAACAGUAACACUUUAGCUUGCCUCUAAUUACAGCCACCAUGACAGUUCAUAUGUUGUAGCAAUAAAAAUAACCAUAAACCUUACAUAAUCAUUAAAGUUAAGCAAACAGCCCCUCACUGCAUCAUAAUGUACAGGUAGUUGCUAAUAAUCCAGGAACAGCAUUGGGGCGUUCAAGGAACAUCUUUCCUAUCUCCACAGUUUCUUAAACAACUUUAGAGACAUAUUUUUAUUAAGUAUAUGCAAGGCAGAUGAUCUUAAACCUCAAGAAGAGCGUGCAUAAUAAUUGUGUACUCUUCUAAUGCUCUCCGAAGACCUAUUCAGAGUCCAUUCUGAAAGACAAUAAUAUAUCAAGAAGUUCUGCAAACUUCCUCCUAAUGAAGACAUGCCAAUUUGAGACCAAGAAUGUGGCCUCAAAGGACAAAAUAACCACUGCUCUCAGUCUCUCGGUGUUUUGCUACUUUAUUUCAGAGUGAUUCAAAAUCUAAUUAAAUUUCUAAACUCUAAUGAAAUUACAGAAGAAAAAUCAUUUAGGAUUAUAUUAUGUACAAUUACUCACAGCUGAAAAUUACAGUUACCCUCUUUCACCAGGACAGAAUCUCUUGGGAAAUCCCUCAUUAUUUAUCCACCAUGUAAAUCUGACACUUCUCCCACUAUUUACCGGUUGGAGGUAAAGCCGAAUUAAUUAAACGUAUAUAUCCUGAGCUGCAACUAACAGGUGGGGAGGGAGCUCAAGGAGAGGGAGGAAGCAUGUGGGCUGAGAUUCCCUUAAGUAAGCAUGUCUAGGAUGGGUGGGGACAGACUGACACUGGGCAGAUGCUCAGGAUCUGGAAUCUCUUGCACAUGGGCAGAGAGGCGCAAAGCCUUGGAUGAUGAAUUUAGGUGUGAAUGUGCAUCCCAAGCUUUGCUUGGUUUUGGGAAUCUUAGCUUAGAUAGAAAUAUGGGUUAGAGAAGGUCUUGCCACCAGAAGAUUGCUUAGGGAUCGCGGCCUGGAUUUCUGUACUAAAAGAGUUCAAUGACUUGAUCAAUCCACACUAAUAUAGAUAAUUAGAAUAUUUUGAGUAGUCAGCAGCUGGUUAGUAAUUCCAUGAAAUCCAUCUGUUUGAGGUUUUUCAUCUCCUUGAAUAGAGAGCUUUGAAGGUGUCAUCAUACUUAUAAAUAUCAUAGCACACUGAAACAAGUUUGGCUUUGGGGGACUUGGACUUUCAAAAAUAUAGACAAGAUAAUUCAGACCUUAAUUCUUCCCAUUAGGAAUGCCUAGAAAAAAUAAAUAAAAAUAUAUUUUAAAACAUGUGUUUGAAGGUAGCAGAGAGAUAACAAGGGAGUGAAGAGUUAUGAGAAUAAGCUCAGGAGGUAAAACUGAAAAAUGAACUUGGACUUUUAAAAGUUUUUCUUCUAGAGGCAUCUUUCAAUUCCACAAGAGGUGGCUGAGAAGCUGAGAAGUGAGUAAAGCUGCAAAUAGUUUUGAGGGCUAGAACUCAGAACCUGCCAAGGAAGAGGAACCCUGGUAACCCUCCCAGGUUUGGGUCAGGAUGCAGAAGGACUAAUCCCUAGAAGAAUGGUCAACCAGAAACAAACUGGUCCUUGAAUGGUCUGAAACCCAACUUUAAUUCAUAAUCAUCUCUGAAAUUGGAUUUAGGGGUUGCAGUUUUGCUAGGGAAAUCUAGAAGACUGUCAAAAGCAACAUGAAUCCAUUUGAAGGAAGAUAACAUUGUCCCAGGGUUAAAGUAAUUUUAUAAUUUUUAAUUUACAAUGUCAGAGUCAUUAAAAAAUAAUGACCAGACAUAAAA